This 268-nucleotide long non-coding RNA is filed under the name Brassica napus (rape). RNAcentral describes it as "long non-coding RNA (BNAP_LNC017968)". Lineage: Eukaryota; Viridiplantae; Streptophyta; Magnoliopsida; Brassicales; Brassicaceae. The record is from RNAcentral.
AUUUUUGGGCAAAUCUCCAAAAUAGCACAUUUCUAAGUUUAUAUCACAAAAAUAGCACUCAAAAACUAAAAUGACCAAAAUAACACCUUUCUAAGUUUAUCCUUUGACAAUUUUAAUUUUUUUUAUUUUUCAAAAUUUGAAAUCUUAUCCCCAAAACCUCAUUUCUCAACUCUAAACCCUAAACCCUAAACCUUAAACCCUAAACUCUAAACCCUAAACCCUAAACCCUAAACUCUAAACCCUAAACCCUAGACCCUAAAUCCUAAAC